RNAcentral lists this ribosomal RNA (253 nucleotides) under uncultured bacterium. RNAcentral describes it as "partial 16S ribosomal RNA". It matches the Rfam family "Bacterial small subunit ribosomal RNA", at positions 524 to 776 of the family's 1533-position model. The record is from RNAcentral.
UACGAAGGGGGCUAGCGUUGCUCGGAAUUACUGGGCGUAAAGCGCACGUAGGCGGAUUGUUAAGUCGGGGGUGAAAUCCUGGAGCUCAACUCCAGAACUGCCUUCGAUACUGGCGAUCUCGAGUUCGGGAGAGGUGAGUGGAACUGCGAGUGUAGAGGUGAAAUUCGUAGAUAUUCGCAAGAACACCAGUGGUGAAGGCGGCUCACUGGCCCGAUACUGACGCUGAGGUGCGAAAGCGUGGGGAGCAAACAGG